UGUGUCUCAGCCAUGUGGACACAGCAGACAAACUUCUUCUUUUUGGCCACAGUCUCUUGUGUGUCAGCUGCUGCAGGUGGUCAGAUCAGAUUAGCUGGGUCUGGGUCGACUCGCUGCUCUGGAAGAGUUUAAAUCUAUCACAGUGGCUCCUGUGGAACAAUCUGUGACGAUGCCUGGGACUUAACUGAUGCUGAGGUGGUCUGCAGACAGUUAGACUGUGGAACAGCACUGAGAGCCACUACAAAAGCUCACUUUGGUGAAGGAACUGGGCCGAUCUGGCUUCAUUAUUUGGGCUGUGCAGGAACUGAAACGUCUCUACGUAAGUGCGAUCAUGGAGGCUUUCAGUAACAAGACUGUGGACAUCAUGAGGACGCUGGUGUCAUCUGUUUAGGUGAGAGAUGUUUGGAUUACGCACGGUGUGUCAGAUACUGUAAACACAUGUUUUUGGCUGCACUGUACAUUAAACAAAUCUGUUUUAUCAUCCAGCAGUUCAGGUAUGAAAUGUUUCCUAUUCAAUAUGAAUGCAGCUGUAAUCCACAGAGAAAAACAUCCACUGUUCUCUAAGCUAUAAAACUGAAAACAACUUUGUCCACACAGCUAUGUUAUAAUUAUGUGACACCCGUCUCUACUGAGAGGGGCCCUGGGUUCCUGUUGUUACUUAGUGCUGAUUCCCCCUUUCUGAUGCUUGUGAAAUGAAAUAUGCACUAAACUACACUAUAUGGAAACAAACCACACACUAGCAGGUUAAUAAAGUUAACACUGCUUUAGUGACUGAUUAGUUCCAAAAACACAAAAGAAAAGAAGUAAAAUUGAUAAAGUUGGUUGAGCAAUGGUAAAGUAUUUAACAUCAACUGAAACCAAAUAAUUAAAUAACAGUGUGGGCCCACUCUGUCACGGCUGUGGCAGCAGUCGUGUGGUGUAGUGAAGGAAGGACCCAAACUGCACUGGCUGUGAUGCGAGUGAGCUUUAUUACAGAAGGUGAACACAACAAAGUGAGGGCAAAACUAAAACACAACCUAAACUGGGAACAACUGAAGAACAAACCUGGAACCACAGAAACACGGGAUGAAGAGCAAAAAUGGCACGGAGAAUGUUGGGCAGAGAGACGCAGAAAUUACACAUCAUC
Long non-coding RNA from Haplochromis burtoni (Burton's mouthbrooder), 1126 nucleotides. RefSeq lists it as uncharacterized. The record is from RefSeq and is a predicted model, not a curated record. The transcript has 3 exons. Lineage: Eukaryota; Metazoa; Chordata; Actinopteri; Cichliformes; Cichlidae.